UUUUCAAUAGUGUCGAGCGUCUGGUC
This 26-nucleotide small RNA is filed under the name Bombyx mori (domestic silkworm). Its description in RNAcentral is "ovarian small RNA-38455". The record is from RNAcentral. Lineage: Eukaryota; Metazoa; Arthropoda; Insecta; Lepidoptera; Bombycidae.